ACACCUCAACUCUCAUGGCUUGCCAUGAUGAGCUUGGACCAUGGGGGUCUUGCUGGCCUGCAGUCGGCUCCCCUCAAAUGAAUCAGCUUGCCAGUGUUUGGUGGCGUCACAGGUGUGAUAACUAUCUACGCUUGUGGCUUUCCGCCAGGUAACCUUCAGCAAUGGAGGUUCGCUGGGGCUCAUAAAUGUCUCUCCUCAGUGAGGACAGCUCUUUGAAC
RNAcentral lists this unclassified non-coding RNA (218 nucleotides) under uncultured Thelephoraceae. RNAcentral's name for it is "sequence contains ITS2". The record is from RNAcentral. Lineage: Eukaryota; Fungi; Basidiomycota; Agaricomycetes; Thelephorales; Thelephoraceae.